Molecule: non-coding RNA, 24 nt
Filed under: Drosophila melanogaster (fruit fly)
Lineage: Eukaryota; Metazoa; Arthropoda; Insecta; Diptera; Drosophilidae
Source: RNAcentral
AGAUACUUUAUGACGACGCUGGAA